This 253-nucleotide ribosomal RNA is filed under the name uncultured bacterium. Its description in RNAcentral is "partial 16S ribosomal RNA". It matches the Rfam family "Bacterial small subunit ribosomal RNA", at positions 524 to 776 of the family's 1533-position model. The record is from RNAcentral.
UACGGAGGGUGCAAGCGUUAAUCGGAAUUACUGGGCGUAAAGCGUACGCAGGCGGUUAGUUAAGCUAGAUGUGAAAGCCCCGGGCUCAACCUGGGAACUGCAUUUAGAACUGGCUGGCUAGAGUGCAGCAGAGGAUAGUGGAAUUUCUAGUGUAGCGGUGAAAUGCGUAGAUAUUAGAAGGAACACCAGUGGCGAAGGCGACUGUCUGGGCUGACACUGACGCUCAUGUACGAAAGCGUGGGGAGCAAACAGG